This is a long non-coding RNA of Podarcis muralis (Common wall lizard), 458 nucleotides long. RefSeq lists it as uncharacterized. The record is from RefSeq and is a predicted model, not a curated record. Lineage: Eukaryota; Metazoa; Chordata; Lepidosauria; Squamata; Lacertidae.
CGCUGUGUAGCUUUGCAUGCCACUGCCACUGCCUCCUCUCCCAGGCAGGAAGUGAGAGAGCGUGGCUGGCUGUAGGAAGAGCCACUGCCAGCAUGCCAUCGCAGCUGUUCCUGGUCGGUCCUGGACUCCUGCUGCUGGGCCAUGGCGCCACUAACCCUAUUGGAAAACAGUGCUUUGAGAGCAGAAGGGAAAGUCCAAGGUACAGAAUGAAGAGUGGAUGCUUGAAAUAUGCUGACUUUUGGGUCUCCGUCUAUUGGUGUGGAGCUACAGAUUCACUGUCUUACCAGGACUAUUUGAAGGACAUAAAAAAAUUACAAGCCAUAUAGAUGCUACAGUAAUAGAGUCCAAAGUGAGUGAAGCAGUUGCUUGUUUUAAAUGCUCUCCAGGCAUGACGCAAAUCAGCCAAGUAUAUCCUACUUGUGUGACCAACUAAAUUUUGGAUACAAGAAGUUAAGCUU